Molecule: ribosomal RNA, 851 nt
Filed under: Cantharellus cinnabarinus
Lineage: Eukaryota; Fungi; Basidiomycota; Agaricomycetes; Cantharellales; Hydnaceae
Description: partial large subunit ribosomal RNA
Rfam family: Eukaryotic large subunit ribosomal RNA
Source: RNAcentral
AUUCCCCCAGUAACUGCGAGUGAAGAGGGAAGAGCUCAUCAUUGGAAUCUGGCAGCGUUGCGCUGUCCGAGUUGUAGAUGAGAAGAGUAGGCCAUCUGGACUGCGUGGUGUCCAAGUACAAUAGGCCGUCAGUGGGACAUCAUAGAGGGUGACAAUCCCGUCCUUGACACCAACGUACGAGUCCAUUACGAUGCCUAUCUCAGAGAGUCGAGCAGUUUGGGAUUUGCUGCUUAAACAUGGGAGGUAGAUUCCUUCUAAAGCUAAAUACAGGCAAGAGACCGAUAGAGAACAAGUACCGCAAGGGAAAGAUGAAAUAGAACUCUGUGAAGGGAGUCAAAAAGACGUGAAAUUGUUGCGAGAGAAGCGAUUCAAGUCAGCGUAGCUAGGCCCAUCAAGCCUUGCUUUGGACUAGCUUUGCCAGCGGUCUUGUCCUUUAGAGAGACUUGACUUUUGACAUGCCCUGCCCGGUCUAACGGGCAGACCUCCCUCUGGGAGGCCAGUGGCAUGGCUGGUGGAAUGGCUUGCAAUCGACCCGUCUUGAAACACGGACCAAGGAGUCUAACAUGUGUGCGAGUAUAAGGGUGGCAAACCCGUAUGCGCAAAGAAAGUGAUAGCCUUUUAUGGCUGAGAAUGGCCUGAUGACCAGACAAGCAAUAUUAUGUUCCUCGUACGGUCAUUGCCCAAGUCCCGUGGUCAGAUCCCAUGGACAUGGAGUUAGAGCAUACAUGCUAGGACCCGAAAGAUGGUGAACUAUGCCUGGACAAAGCGAAGCCAAAGGAAACUCUGGUGGAGGCUUGUAGCGAUUCUGACGUGCAAAUCGAUCGUCUGAUCUGGGUAUAGGGGCGAAAGAC